AUUGAACGCUGGCGGCAGGCCUAACACAUGCAAGUCGAACGGUAACAGGAAGAAGCUUGCUUCUUUGCUGACGAGUGGCGGACGGGUGAGUAAUGUCUGGGAAACUGCCUGAUGGAGGGGGAUAACUACUGGAAACGGUAGCUAAUACCGCAUAACGUCGCAAGACCAAAGAGGGGGACCUUCGGGCCUCUUGCCAUCGGAUGUGCCCAGAUGGGAUUAGCUAGUAGGUGGGGUAACGGCUCACCUAGGCGACGAUCCCUAGCUGGUCUGAGAGGAUGACGAGCCACACUGGAACUGAGACACGGUCCAGACUCCUACGGGAGGCAGCAGUGGGGAAUAUUGCACAAUGGGCGCAAGCCUGAUGCAGCCAUGCCGCGUGUAUGAAGAAGGCCUUCGGGUUGUAAAGUACUUUCAGCGGGGAGGAAGGGAGUAAAGUUAAUACCUUUACUCAUUGACGUUACCCGCAGAAGAAGCACCGGCUAACUCCGUG
This 490-nucleotide ribosomal RNA is filed under the name uncultured bacterium. RNAcentral describes it as "partial 16S ribosomal RNA". It matches the Rfam family "Bacterial small subunit ribosomal RNA", at positions 30 to 507 of the family's 1533-position model. The record is from RNAcentral.